RNAcentral lists this long non-coding RNA (418 nucleotides) under Gossypium barbadense (sea-island cotton). RNAcentral describes it as "long non-coding RNA (GBAR_LNC000878)". The record is from RNAcentral. Lineage: Eukaryota; Viridiplantae; Streptophyta; Magnoliopsida; Malvales; Malvaceae.
GGGAGAUGAGAUAUGCCAUUGCAAUAGGAGCCGCUAAAGGGUUAGAGUAUUUGCAUCAUGGAUGUGAUAGGCCGGUUAUACACCGUGAUGUGAAGUCGAGCAAUAUUUUGUUAGAUGAAGAGUGGAAGCCAAGGAUCGCUGAUUUUGGACUUGCAAAGAUUGUGCAGAAUGGCAGUGGAGGGGAUUGGACUCAUGUUAUAGCUGGAACUCACGGUUACAUGGCUCCUGGUAAGUUCCUUAUUCAUGUUUUGUUCUGUUCAAUAUUAUUUGUUCAAACGGUUGAUUGAAGCGCCUUACUUAACAUCUACUGCUGCAUAAUUUUCUGGCAGAGUAUGCAUACACAUGCAAGAUCAAUGAGAAGAGCGAUGUUUACAGCUUUGGAGUUGUGUUGAUGGAGUUGGUCACAGGAAAAAGGCCG